RNAcentral lists this ribosomal RNA (508 nucleotides) under uncultured bacterium. RNAcentral describes it as "partial 16S ribosomal RNA". It matches the Rfam family "Bacterial small subunit ribosomal RNA", at positions 28 to 507 of the family's 1533-position model. The record is from RNAcentral.
GACGAACGCUGGCGGCGUGCCUAAUACAUGCAAGUCGAACGCUUCUUUCCUCCCGAGUGCUUGCACUCAAUUGGAAAGAGGAGUGGCGGACGGGUGAGUAACACGUGGGUAACCUACCCAUCAGAGGGGGAUAACACUUGGAAACAGGUGCUAAUACCGCAUAACAGUUUAUGCCGCAUGGCAUAAGAUUGAAAGGCGCUUUCGGGUGUCGUUGAUGGAUGGACCCGCGGUGCAUUAGCUAGUUGGUGAGGUAACGGCUCACCAAGGCCACGAUGCAUAGCCGACCUGAGAGGGUGAUCGGCCACACUGGGACUGAGACACGGCCCAGACUCCUACGGGAGGCAGCAGUAGGGAAUCUUCGGCAAUGGACGAAAGUCUGACCGAGCAACGCCGCGUGAGUGAAGAAGGUUUUCGGAUCGUAAAACUCUGUUGUUAGAGAAGAACAAGGACGUUAGUAACUGAACGUCCCCUGACGGUAUCUAACCAGAAAGCCACGGCUAACUACGUG